AUGAGUUGCCUUAGCUGGAAUUGUCGGGGGCUUGGGAACCCGUCGACAGUUCGAGAGCUUCGCAAUGUUGUGAAGCAAGAAGCGCCCUGUCUCUUGUCUCUUAUGGAGACAAAGAUUGCAGCAAAGCGUGUGGAACUAUUUCAGAAAACUUUAGGCUUUGCUGGGUGUUUUGCGGUUGAUAGUAGUGGACUAAGUGGCGGGAUUGGUUUGUUUGGUCGGCGGAUGUGCAAUUCGAGCUAA
Molecule: ribosomal RNA, 240 nt
Filed under: Triticum aestivum (bread wheat)
Lineage: Eukaryota; Viridiplantae; Streptophyta; Magnoliopsida; Poales; Poaceae
Description: partial small subunit ribosomal RNA
Source: RNAcentral